UACGGAGGGUGCAAGCGUUAUCCGGAUUUACUGGGUUUAAAGGGUGUGUAGGCGGUCUAUUAAGUCAGUGGUGAAAUCUCCGAGCUUAACUUGGAAACUGCCAUUGAUACUAUUAGUCUUGAAUAUCGUUGAGGUGGGCAGAAUAUGUCAUGUAGCGGUGAAAUGCAUAGAUAUGACAUAGAAUACCGAUUGCGAAGGCAGCUUGCUAAACGAUGAUUGACGCUGAGGCACGAAAGCGUGGGGAUCAAACAGG
RNAcentral lists this ribosomal RNA (253 nucleotides) under uncultured bacterium. Its description in RNAcentral is "partial 16S ribosomal RNA". It matches the Rfam family "Bacterial small subunit ribosomal RNA", at positions 524 to 776 of the family's 1533-position model. The record is from RNAcentral.